Molecule: non-coding RNA, 124 nt
Organism: Neonectria punicea
Lineage: Eukaryota; Fungi; Ascomycota; Sordariomycetes; Hypocreales; Nectriaceae
Source: the annotation of a GenBank genome assembly
CCCCCCGUGGCGUAGUGGUUAACGAGCUCUCUUCGACUCGCACGCCCAAGAUAACUACAUUCAUCUCUUUGACUCGCGAUUCGUAACGCGAGAGAGAUCCCGAGUUCAAACCUCGGCGGGGGGG